GGCCCGUUGUGACGGCCGGGAUUUCUUCCAACUGCGAAUUGGUGAGGUCGCGGGUUCGAAUCCCGCCGACGUCG
RNAcentral lists this transfer RNA (74 nucleotides) under Acidimicrobiales bacterium. RNAcentral's name for it is "tRNA-OTHER". Lineage: Bacteria; Bacillati; Actinomycetota; Acidimicrobiia; Acidimicrobiales. The record is from RNAcentral.